AUGAUUAAGCUUGCAGUCCUCAUCCGAGGAACUGCACUGCUCCUUUGCCUAUUGAUCUUCCAACCAGCAUCCGCUUCCCAUGGUCAAGCGACUGCAUCAGGAGCCUGCAUCAGCGGCGAGCGAGAUGCGCUUCUGUCCGUCAAGGCAAGCGUCCUGGAUCCUGAUGGUCGUCUGUCAUCAUGGCAGGGCGACGACUGUUGUCGAUGGAGGGGAGUCCGUUGUAGCAACAGAACUGGCCAUAUCAUCAAGCUCAAGCUCCGCAAGUCCGGCAAGCACGCCAUGUACGACAUAGCCUACAGGUCAGUAGGAUUCGGUGGGGGAAUACCUUCCCAACUUGGCAAUCUCUCAAAGUUGCAAUAUCUAGAUGUCAGUGGGAAUUCUUUUCAUUCGGAUAGUUACUCAGUGAAUUUUGCAUGGUUGCCACGUCUCUCUUCUUUGGUCCAUCUCGACAUGAGCUUUGUUGAUCUUAGUUCUGCCGAGGAUUGGCUUCAGACGGUGAACAUGCUUCCUUCUCUUAAAGUGCUUCGCUUGAGCUUCUGUGAACUCAAUCUUCCCGUAUCUGCUAGCAUGUCACUGUCCAACCUCACACAUGUCGAGAUACUUGAUUUGUCUUAUAACAAAUUCUAUACUAAUUCACUCAAGCGCGCAUGGUUUUGGAAUCUCAUAAGCCUCAAGGAGCUUUACCUCCAAGAUUCCGGCUUGGAAGGGGCCAUUCCUAGUAACUUGGCAAACAUGACGUCCCUUCAAGUCAUAGACUUCAGCGGGAACAACCUUGUGGGUCUGAUACCAAACAAAUUAGAUAAUCUGUGCAAUUUGACAAUAAUGAGGUUUAGCGGUAUCAACACUGGUUCGAGCAUAGGGGAGUUCAUGGAGCGAUUGCCAAAGUGUGCAUGGCAUACAUUGCAAGAAUUGUCAGUGCAGGGUGCAAAUAUGACCGGGAAUCUACCCAUUUGGAUUGGGAACUUGACAGGUCUCGCCGUUCUUCAAGCAUCUCAAAACAUGUUAACUGGCCCUCUACCUGUAGGAGUUGGAGCACUCCGUAAUUUAAAAAUGUUGGACCUCAGUUAUAAUAAAUUUAGCAGUGUGCUCACAGAGGAGCAUUUUGCGGGCCUACUGAAUUUAGAGUAUCUGGACUUGUCAUACAACUCUUUGAGAUUAGCUAUCAAACACAAAUGGGUUCCUCCAUUUAGAUUGAAGGUUGCAGGUUUCGGUUCAUGCCAACUGGGCCCCAGUUUUCCAGAGUGGCUUAGAUGGCAAUCUGACAUUGAUGUUCUUGUUCUCAGUAAUGCAAAUCUAGAUGAUGUUAUUCCUGAUUGGUUUUGGGUGACAUUUUCCCGAGCUUCAUUCUUGCAAGCAUCAGGAAACAAAUUGCAUGGCUCAUUACCGGGAGAUCUACAACACAUAUCAGCUGACCACAUAUAUCUUGGGUCCAAUAAGUUUACGGGCCAAGUACCACAUUUACCUAUAAAUAUAUCAAGACUAAACCUAUCUUCAAACUCUUUCACUGGGUCAUUGCCAUCAGAGCUGAAUGCCCCACUACUCGGAGAGUUGUUGCUUGCAAAUAAUCAACUUACAGGCACCAUCCCGUCAUCUAUAUGCCAAUUGACUAAACUGAAUAGGUUGGACCUAUCAGGAAACCAUUUAACAGGAGAUAUUAUGCAGUGUUGGAAGGAAUCUGAUGCAAACUCUACGAAUCAAUUUGGUUUUGACAUGCUAAGCUUAGCCCUGAAUAACAACGGUCUCACUGGUGAAUUCCCUAAAUUUCUUCAAAGGUCGUCAAGGUUAAUGUUCCUUGAUCUUUCUUACAAUUGGUUAUUUGGAGGAUUGCCUGAAUGGUUGCCAGAAAAAAUGCCACAUCUGAAAAUAUUAAGAGUGCGAUCAAAUAUGUUCAGCGGCCAUAUUCCUAAGAAUCUCACUUCCCUGGACAGUCUUCAUUAUUUGGACAUAGCACACAACAAGAUAACAGGAAGCAUACCAUGGUCUUUGUCAAACCUGAAGGCAAUGAUGACAGUGGUGUCGCAGGACACGGAGUAUUACAAUUUUGAAGAGAGCAUCCCAGUAUACACAAAGGACCAAAAGCGUAACUAUACCUUUGUAAUCUACAAAUUGCUAGUGAUUCUUGAUUUGUCAAGUAAUAUUUUGACAGGACAUGUUCCGGAGGAGACAACUCUACUCAUUGGGCUUAACAAUCUGAACUUGUCAAAUAAUCAACUCACAGGAGCAAUCCCAGACCAAAUUGGUGAUUUAAGGCAGUUGGACUCACUCGACCUAUCCUUCAAUGAGUUUUCUGGUGCAAUACCAUCAAGUUUGUCAGCUUUAACUUAUUUGAGCCACUUGAACUUGUCAUACAACAAUCUGUCCGGUGCAAUACCACCCGGACAACAGCUACAAACUCUUGGCAACCAGAUGUACAUCUACAUCGGUAACCCUGGUCUUUGUGGAGAUCCGGUUGGCAGGAACUGCUCAACACAUCAUGCAGAGCAAAGUGGCCUUGAAGAUCUAGAGCAUAUGCCAUCUGUCUAUCUUGCCAUGAGCAUUGGAUUUGUGGUGGGUCUGUGGACAGUUUUCUGCACCAUGUUGAUGAAGAGAACAUGGAGGGCUGCCUUCUUCCAGUUUGUUGAUAUGAUGUAUGACAUGGUUUAUGUGCAAGUGGCUAUAAGGUGGGCUCACAUGAUGGAGAAAACUCAAGACGCUUCCAUUGAGCUGACAUUUCUUUAUUUUGGUGAGGCAAACUGUACCGACUCGACUAUGCCUGUGCUUGCCAGUGAAGUGAGAAGCUCGAGUCCGACCAGUCCAAGCACUCGGAGGAGGGUGACUCUGGAGCCCUUUGAGUGCGACCACGCAUGCAUCUUUGGUGGUUAUAGAAUGCCCAAAAGUAAACUGUAUGACGCGAUCAUGCCAACCUUCGGUGUUUGCAAGCAAGCUGACCAGUUAAAUCCCAUGGAGCCUUUUGAGCGUGACCACACCUGCACCGUUGGUCGUUACAGAAUGCCCCAGAAGCAAUAG
Molecule: ribosomal RNA, 3006 nt
Filed under: Triticum aestivum (bread wheat)
Lineage: Eukaryota; Viridiplantae; Streptophyta; Magnoliopsida; Poales; Poaceae
Description: partial small subunit ribosomal RNA
Source: RNAcentral